RNAcentral lists this long non-coding RNA (1553 nucleotides) under Mus musculus (house mouse). Its description in RNAcentral is "long non-coding RNA chr13:9321426-9322979". The record is from RNAcentral. Lineage: Eukaryota; Metazoa; Chordata; Mammalia; Rodentia; Muridae.
UUCUCUCUUCUCUUCUCUUCUUCUCUCUUCUCUUCUUCUCUCUUCUCUUCUUCUCUCUUCUCUCUUCUCUCUUCUCUCUUCUCUCUUCUCUCUUCUCUCUCUCUCUCUCUUUCUUUCUUUCUUUCUUUCUUUCUUUCUUUCUUUCUUUCUUAAGAUUUGUUUAUUUAUUAUAAUAAGACUCUGCAACUGUCUUCAGACACCCCAGAAGAGGGCAUCUGAUCUCAUUAUGGAUGGUUGUGAGCCACCAUGUGGUUGCUGAGAUCUGAACUCAGGACCUUCAGAGGAGCAGUCAGUGCUCUUAACUGCUGAGCCAUCUCUCCAGCCCUUUUCUUAUUCCUCAGAAUCAAACGUUGUCAAGUUUAAGACUGUCUGUUUAGUCAUGUUAGUGGUUUGCCUUUUUGAGUACCAUGAUUUGGGAAGUUAAAUAUUUAGUUGAAAUUGUCAUGUGUGCCUGAAUUAGUAGUAUAAUUUUAUUUUUUAUAAAAACGUUUUGGUUUCCCAUUAGAAUUAUUUACCUGAAGCAAGCUUUGCCUGCUGCCAAUGUGAAGAAACAGUGGUUUAGUGGGAAUGUCAAAUCAAAUACAGUUUCCCUAAAUAGAACAUGUUCUUUUCAUACUCUUAAAAAUUCAUGUACUCAUCAAACAUGUAUUGAGAGCUUGCCAUCUUGGUUGCCUAGUCAACUGUUCAUAUAUAUUUUUAAAGAGUUCCUGUCAUCCAGGACUGGACUCAGCAUGCAUUUAGAACUUAGCUUGAAGGUAGUUAAGGAAGAUGCUUUUCCACAGCAAUUUGGUUUUCGUUUCUAUUAGAAAACAUUUUCUCAAACUCAGCACUCGGCUGCUGUGCAGCCCCGAAUUACCUUUGGCUCCCCGGGUUUACUCUGAUUGGCUGGGGCCCAUGAUGACACAUAUGUGGGCAGAGGAAGGACAGAGAAUAUUUAAGCAGCUGUUAGCCUGAGUAGAGAAAAUCUCAGCAUCCAUUGUAUUACUCUAAGUAUUUUAAUAUGUUUGAAAAUUUGUAUAAUGAAAUGGGGAAAAUAAAAGUAAAUCUGGAAAUUAAGAAUGAAGUUAAUUUUAACUGUUCUUUCGUGGAUUAAGACAAAGUUAGCUGUUCUGUCAUUACUGUGACAAAAUACUGACAGAGGUUAACUAAAGGAAGAAAACAUAUUUCCACUCACAGUUUGAAGGAAUGGUCCAUCAUGGCAGGAGAAUCACAGCAGCAGGAAAGGCCUGAUGUGGCUGGGCUCACUGUGCCUGAAGUUAGGACGCAGAGAUAUGAAGGCUGGAAUUCAGCUCCUUCCUCCCUUUGCUUUCUCUUCAGUCUGAGAUCCUAGUCCAUAGGAUGGUGUCAUCCACCUUCAGGGUGGGUCCUCCUCCCUUAAACUUCUUUAGAAAUGUCCGAAGUCCCUCAACAGAUACGGGAGACUGAAAUAAUCCUAUGCACCCAUCAGAUUACCAUGGACCAAGGCUGGUCAAAUACCAACAAAAACAACGGAAAGCACACAUAUACAAGCUGAACAACGCUCUACUCAAUGAUAACUUGGUCAAGUAAGAAAU